This 75-nucleotide transfer RNA is filed under the name bacterium. RNAcentral describes it as "tRNA-Gly". It matches the Rfam family "tRNA". Rfam says of the family: Transfer RNA (tRNA) molecules are approximately 80 nucleotides in length. Their secondary structure includes four short double-helical elements and three loops (D, anti-codon, and T loops). Further hydrogen bonds mediate the characteristic L-shaped molecular structure. tRNAs have two regions of fundamental functional importance: the anti-codon, which is responsible for specific mRNA codon recognition, and the 3' end, to which the tRNAs corresponding amino acid is attached (by aminoacyl-tRNA synthetases). tRNAs cope with the degeneracy of the genetic code in two manners: having more than one tRNA (with a specific anti-codon) for a particular amino acid; and 'wobble' base-pairing, i.e. permitting non-standard base-pairing at the 3rd anti-codon position. The record is from RNAcentral. RNAcentral also lists the same sequence under 1 other name.
GCGGGUGUAGCUCAAUGGCUAGAGUCCCAGCCUUCCAAGCUGGCUAUGCGGGUUCGAUUCCCGUCACCCGCUCCA